Cavia porcellus (domestic guinea pig) is the source of this 70-nucleotide transfer RNA. It matches the Rfam family "tRNA". From Rfam's summary of the family: Transfer RNA (tRNA) molecules are approximately 80 nucleotides in length. NCBI's taxonomy places the organism in Eukaryota, Metazoa, Chordata, Mammalia, Rodentia, Caviidae. The record is from Rfam.
GGGGAUUUAGCUCAGUGGCAUAAGCGCCUGCCUUGCAAGCAGGCAGUCCUAGGUUCAAUCCCUGGUACCA